UUGAUCCUGGCUCACGAUGAACGCUAGCGGCAGGCUUACACAUGCAAGUCGAGGGGUAACAGUUCCGGGCAACUGGAAGCUGACGACCGGCGCACGGGUGAGUAAUGCGUAUGCAACCUGCCCUUAACUGGAGCAUAGCUCCCGGAAACGGGAAUUAAUACUCCAUAAUAUCCUAAAAUCGCAUGGUUUAAGGAUAAAAGCUCCGGCGGUUAAGGAUGGGCAUAUGUGACAUUAGUUUGUUGGUGAGGUAACGGCUCACCAAGACCGCGAUGUCUAGGGGGUCUGAGAGGAUGAUCCCCCACACUGGUACUGAGACACGGACCAGACUCCUACGGGAGGCAGCAGUGAGGAAUAUUGGUCAAUGGGCGCAAGCCUGAACCAGCCAUGCCGCGUGCAGGAUGACUGCCCUACGGGUUGUAAACUGCUUUUGUACGAGAAGAACCUUCCGAACGUGUUCGGGACUGACGGUAUCGUACGAAUAAGGAUCGGCUAACUCCGUGCCAGCAGCCGCGGUAAUACGGAGGAUCCAAGCGUUAUCCGGAUUCAUUGGGUUUAAAGGGUGCGCAGGCGGAAUAGUAAGUCAGUGGUGAAAGCCUACAGCUUAACUGUAGAAUUGCCAUUGAUACUGCUAUUCUUGAGUAUAGUUGAGGUGGGCGGAAUGUGUAAUGUAGCGGUGAAAUGCAUAGAUAUUACACAGAACGUCAAUUGCGAAGGCAGCUCACUAAACUAUAACUGACGCUGAGGCACGAAAGCGUGGGGAGCGAACAGGAUUAGAUGCCCUGGUAGUCCACGCUGUAAACGAUGAUCACUAGCUGUUGGCGAUACACAGUCAGCGGCUGAGCGAAAGCGUUAAGUGAUCCACCUGGGGAGUACGUCCGCAAGAAUGAAACUCAAAGGGAUUGACGGGGGCCCGCACAAGCGGUGGAACAUGUGGUUUAAUUCGAUGCUACGCGAGGAACCUUACCUGGGCUUAAAUGCAGGACGACGUUCCGGGAAACUGGAAUUCCCUUCGGGGCGGACUGCACGGUGCUGCAUGGCUGUCGUCAGCUCGUGCCUUGAGGUGUCGGGUUAAGUCCCAUAACGAGCGCAACCCCUAUUGUUAGUUGCCAGCGAGUAAUGUCGGGGACUCUAACAAAACUGCCCGUGUAAGCGGGAGGAAGGUGGGGAUGACGUCAAGUCAGCACGGCCCUUAUGUCCAGGGCUACACACGUGUUACAAUGGUCGGUACAAAGGGCAGCUACCACGCGAGUGGAUGCUAAUCUCUAAAGCCGGUCUUAGUUCGGAUCGGAGUCUGCAAUUCGACUUCGUGAAGGCGGAAUCGCUAGUAAUCGCGCAUCAGCAACGGCGCGGUGAUACGUUCCCGGGCCUUGUACACACUGCCCGUCAAGCCAUGGAAGUUGGGGGUACCUGAAGCCCGUAACCGCAAGGAGCGGUCUAAGUAAACCCGACGACUGGGGCUA
This 1460-nucleotide ribosomal RNA is filed under the name uncultured organism. RNAcentral describes it as "bacterial SSU rRNA". It matches the Rfam family "Bacterial small subunit ribosomal RNA". The record is from RNAcentral.